UGGGGAAUAUUGGGCAAUGGGCGCAAGCCUGACCCAGCAACGCCGCGUGAAGGAAGAAGGCUUUCGGGUUGUAAACUUCUUUUGUCAGGGACGAAACAAAUGACGGUACCUGACGAAUAAGCCACGGCUAACUACGUGCCAGCAGCCGCGGUAAUACGUAGGUGGCAAGCGUUAUCCGGAUUUACUGGGUGUAAAGGGUGUGUAGGCGGGAGUGCAAGUCAGAUGUGAAAAUUAUGGGCUCGACCCAUAACCUGCAUUUGAAACUGUACUUCUUGAGUACUGGAGAGGCAGGCGGAAUUCCGUGUGUAGCGGUG
This 314-nucleotide ribosomal RNA is filed under the name uncultured Flavonifractor sp. Its description in RNAcentral is "bacterial SSU rRNA". It matches the Rfam family "Bacterial small subunit ribosomal RNA", at positions 355 to 683 of the family's 1533-position model. Lineage: Bacteria; Bacillati; Bacillota; Clostridia; Eubacteriales; Oscillospiraceae. The record is from RNAcentral.